UGAUUAUUUUGUGACUGAGUGGCGGACGGGUGAGUAACGCGUGGGUAACCUGCCUUGUACAGGGGGAUAACAGUUGGAAACGACUGCUAAUACCGCAUAAGCCCACAGCUCGGCAUCGAGCAGAGGGAAAAGGAGCAAUCCGCUUUGAGAUGGCCUCGCGUCUGAUUAGCUGGUUGGUGAGGUAACGGCUCACCAAGGCGACGAUCAGUAGCCGGUCUGAGAGGAUGAACGGCCACAUUGGGACUGAGACACGGCCCAAACUCC
RNAcentral lists this ribosomal RNA (264 nucleotides) under uncultured Eubacteriales bacterium. RNAcentral's name for it is "uncultured Clostridiales bacterium partial 16S ribosomal RNA". It matches the Rfam family "Bacterial small subunit ribosomal RNA", at positions 77 to 339 of the family's 1533-position model. The record is from RNAcentral. Lineage: Bacteria; Bacillati; Bacillota; Clostridia; Eubacteriales.